Molecule: ribosomal RNA, 493 nt
Filed under: uncultured bacterium
Lineage: Bacteria
Description: bacterial SSU rRNA
Rfam family: Bacterial small subunit ribosomal RNA
Source: RNAcentral
GAUGAACGCUAGCUACAGGCUUAACACAUGCAAGUCGAGGGGAAACGACAUCGAAAGCUUGCUUUGAUGGGCGUCGACCGGCGCACGGGUGAGUAACGCGUAUCCAACCUGCCCACCACUUGGGGAUAACCUUGCGAAAGUAAGACUAAUACCCGAUGAUAUCUCUAGAAGACAUCUGAAAGGGAUUAAAGAUUUUUAUCGGUGAUGGAUGGGGAUGCGUCUGAUUAGCUUGUUGGCGGGGUAACGGCCCACCAAGGCGACGAUCAGUAGGGGUUCUGAGAGGAAGGUCCCCCACAUUGGAACUGAGACACGGUCCAAACUCCUACGGGAGGCAGCAGUGAGGAAUAUUGGUCAAUGGGCGAGAGCCUGAACCAGCCAAGUAGCGUGCAGGAAGACGGCCCUAUGGGUUGUAAACUGCUUUUAUAGGGGAAUAAAGUGAGCCACGUGUGGUUUUUUGCAUGUACCCUAUGAAUAAGGACCGGCUAAUUCCGUG